CCCUGUCCCUUUUCCCCCUUUUCCCCUUUUUUCUUUCCCCAAAUCACCCGAGAUUCUCCAGUUUCAACCCUAGCAGAUUAACACCAGCAGCCCUGUCCCCUUUCCUCUUUCCCCUUUCUCCAAAUCACCCGAGACUCUCUACCCUAGCAGAUUAACACCAGCAGCACAACUGGUUCCACUCUCCACUCACCAGCAGCGCAAAUAUAUAACCACUCACCAGCAAUGCAACAAAGAUUCGAAACUUUCUUGGCGAGAAGAAGUUAUGUUGGAUCUCUAUGCUAUCCAGUGUCCCAUGCAUGCAUGCCUGUAUCUGCUGAGCUUCUUGUCUGUUGUUCACCCAUAUAUGCUGCCUCUAGAGUCUAGAGGACAGAGCCAUGGAGUCACUCACAUUGGGCUAGCUAAAUAUGAAGAGGAUGAUUUUCAGUGUAAUAGCGAUUGUUUUUUAAAUAAUUUUUUGUGCUGAAAUA
This is a long non-coding RNA of Populus trichocarpa (black cottonwood), 467 nucleotides long. RefSeq lists it as uncharacterized. The record is from RefSeq and is a predicted model, not a curated record. The transcript has 2 exons. Lineage: Eukaryota; Viridiplantae; Streptophyta; Magnoliopsida; Malpighiales; Salicaceae.